Molecule: long non-coding RNA, 1343 nt
Organism: Triticum aestivum (bread wheat)
Lineage: Eukaryota; Viridiplantae; Streptophyta; Magnoliopsida; Poales; Poaceae
Exons: 3
Source: RefSeq, a predicted model, not a curated record
CCGCAGCAAAAAUCCCCACUCCACCUUCUACCGGAGCGCUACCCCAGGCCGCCGCCGCCCCACCCCGCCCCUGUCCACCUUCUACCGGCGUCGCUGCCGGAUCACCACCCAAGGCCGCUGCCUCACCGCCCGGCACCCAUCCACCUCCUACUAACCCCGCCUCCGGAGUACCAUCCCAGGCCGCCGCGAGCACGCCCCGACCCCAUCCACCUUCUACCGGCGUCGUUGCCACGUUCCCCCGGCCACCCACCCCCCGUCCACCUUCUACCGCAGCCGCGCCACACCUUCCGGCCACCGCAUCCCAGCGCCACCAGAUCAGGCCUCCCCACACCCCUGGACUCCAGAUCGGACUUGCCCCGUGCUCGUUGCCCCAAGCUUCUUUGCCCCUGCCCCAAGCUUCUCCGCCGCCGGCCUCCGUCGUACCCUCACCCCCACCCCCACCCCCGACUAGCAGUGCCACCACCUCACUCCUCUCUGCCUCGCACACUGGAUUGCAUCCCCACCGCCAGAAAGAGGAUUGCAUCUCCUUCCUUGCCAUUGACCGCGAGGUCAAUGGUCGAGGCCAUGGCCACACAUGGGGCGGCAAAAAGUGAGCACCCGCACCUCACAUUGCGUCCCCGGCCGCUAGAUCCGUCGCACAAUGCGAUCGAGGGAGCGGAUGGGUGGCCAGCGAGCGAGAUUCCACUCGGUGCCCUGCAGUUCGGUCCAUGUGUGCGCCACAGCCCUCCAUCGGGCGCGCGUGUAGUGGGAUCCCGUCGUAGACAUCCAUAGUUGGCGCAACGGCAACUCUGAAAGGCAAAAAACUCAACCUGACAUCUGCAGCAGGUGAUUUCCUCACGUUGGCCAAACUUGGGAGCGAUGAUACCUUAAUGCUCCAAUUUCCCAUUAACUUGAGAAUCGAGGCAAUCAAAGGUAUUCUCAGGAAUGCAAUUCGGCUCCCGGCGUGAUGCUAUGUCGGUAUGUCCAGCAGCGGCGCAGCGCCUCCGUCCAGUACACGCAGGUUAAAUUGUUUACUAUUUUUUGCAACAACAAGAUGAGCGAUGGUGGUGGCCGAGUGAUGGUGACGGCAUGGAGGUUUCUGCUGUGUUGUAUGGUGAAAGACGAACAUCAAAGUACAGAAAAACGUGCACUGCAGUCUCUUGUGGCUUUAGUUUACCUUUCUUCAAGUGAAAAAUGCGCAACAUCGGCUGGCCCACAAAUGGAGUUCUGCUGGCUGGUAGUGCAGAUUUUGUGUGUAUGUAUGUGGGUGGCUGUAAAACAAUGAAUGUAUGUAUGUGUCUAUGAGCAUCAUCGGCGUCCAUAGACAAAGGCGCAAUACAAAAUGUGCGCGUGCAGUUUGCUUA